GCUGUGAUGGCCGAGUGGUUAAGGCGUUGGACUCGAAAUCCAAUGGGUAAUGCCCGCGCAGGUUCAAAUCCUGCUCACAGCG
RNAcentral lists this transfer RNA (82 nucleotides) under Octopus vulgaris (common octopus). It matches the Rfam family "tRNA". Rfam says of the family: Transfer RNA (tRNA) molecules are approximately 80 nucleotides in length. Their secondary structure includes four short double-helical elements and three loops (D, anti-codon, and T loops). RNAcentral also lists the same sequence under 1 other name. The record is from Rfam by way of RNAcentral. Lineage: Eukaryota; Metazoa; Mollusca; Cephalopoda; Octopoda; Octopodidae.